Molecule: ribosomal RNA, 467 nt
Filed under: uncultured bacterium
Lineage: Bacteria
Description: partial 16S ribosomal RNA
Rfam family: Bacterial small subunit ribosomal RNA
Source: RNAcentral
GAUGAACGCUGGCGGCGCGCCUAACACAUGCAAGUCGAACGAUUAAAGCACCUUCGGGUGUGUAUAAAGUGGCGAACGGCUGAGUAACACGUGGGCAACCUGCCCCUUUCAUUGGGAUAGCCACGGGAAACCGUGGAUAAUACCGAAUACUUCGAGACUUCCGCAUGGAAGACUCGAGAAAGCUCCGGCGGCGAGGGAUGGGCCCGCGGCCUGUUAGCUUGUUGGUGGGGUAACGGCCUACCAAGGCAAUGAUGGGUAGCUGGGUUGAGAGACCGACCAGCCAGAUUGGGACUGAGACACGGCCCAGACUCCUACGGGAGGCAGCAGUGGGGAAUCUUGCACAAUGGGCGAAAGCCUGAUGCAGCGACGCCGCGUGCGGGAUGAAGGCCUUCGGGUUGUAAACCGCUUUCAGCAGGGACGAGGCGAAAGUGACGGUACCUGCAGAAGAAGCCCCGGCUAACUACGUG